This 284-nucleotide ribosomal RNA is filed under the name uncultured Methanobacterium sp. RNAcentral describes it as "partial 16S ribosomal RNA". It matches the Rfam family "Archaeal small subunit ribosomal RNA", at positions 718 to 999 of the family's 1478-position model. The record is from RNAcentral. Lineage: Archaea; Methanobacteriati; Methanobacteriota; Methanobacteria; Methanobacteriales; Methanobacteriaceae.
AAUGUAGGUGAUUAGAUACAACUGUAGUCCUGGCCGUAAACGAUGCGGACUUGGUGUUGGAAUGGCUUCGAGCUGCUCCAGUGCCGAACCGAAGCUGUUAAGUCCGCCGCCUGUUAAGUACGGUCGCAAGACUGAAACUUCCAAUGGAAUUGGCGGUUAAGCACCACAACGCGUGGAGCCUGCGGCCUAAUUGGAUUCAACGCCGGACAUCUCACCAGGCGCGACAGCAGAAUGAUAGCCAGGUUGAUGACCUUGCUUAACAAGCUGAGAGGAGGUGCAUGGCA